GUUUUUUGAUAACUGUCCCAUCGAAAUCGUGUCUUCUUGCAAACGAGUCCAUCUAUCGACUCAUGCACAUCAGCUCAUACUCCAUAUCAAAUAUUUUUUUUCAAAUUGUACUUUCAAAGGAAUGAUUUGCUACGGAGUUGGUAUCAGAAUUCCUGCUUACAAAAGGCCUGAUGUGGAGAGAAGAGCUUGCAAGGAAAAGGCAAGAAAGUGUAAAAAAAAAAAAAAAAAAAAAGGAAAGAAAUCAUGCCCCUCUCCAAGUCAGAGGAUAAUAAAUUGUGUAAAUAUAGUUCUAAUGCUGUUAGGCUGAAAGUUGAACUUAAUAUAUAAUUACUGAAAUAGACGAUUACAUUUAUAUCGUUGAUAUAAAUAAACAUGUUUAGAGUGAAUCCUCAUGAAGUAAUCAUUGUGCUUUUGCAGUUGACACUCCCAGAAACUGUCAACAGAGGGCCACAGGCCUCCACUGCGCGACCUUCUUUCCUGAGUCUGCAUCAAGUCAGAGUGGCUCUUCCUUUUUUGGCCAAAUUCCGACCAUCCAGACAUCUAACAUCUUGUCCAAGCAAAACAGAGUUGACACUACCAAAACUCACCAUAGAAAGCCCUGUAGAAAAAUCACAGACCUCCUAUGUGCAUCCUACCUGUCCUUCUGUCCCAGGACCGGAUCCAUCCACAGUGGCUCGUCCUCUGUAUAAAUUCCCGCCAUCCAGACCGCGCACCUUAAACCCAAGCAAUUUGAAGAGGUCUCUCAGAUCUGAUGUAUCUACUUCUUAAAACACUUGCAUGUCUCACUAUUAGUGUUACAUUUGAUUUCACCUGAGUCUCAAAGGUUGUGGAUCUCUGAAAACGAUGGUGAUCAAAAUAAAUAAAUAAAAAUCUUUACAGCAUUUAAUACCUGUUUAUUAUUUCUGUCAGUACUCAGGUAAGGACAUUGAGCCAUUUGAUGGCCCUGGAUACCACAGAUUGUGAGCAAGAAUAUGAUGCAUAAUAAACAAUGCAGAAAAAAUUUCUUUGUACCUGUACAUUCAAUUCGUUCAUUCAUGUCAUCAAGAGGCAAUGCAUGAUGGAAAAAUGAACAAUUUGCAUGUGGAAACUUUAGCCACUAGGUGCCUCUAU
RNAcentral lists this long non-coding RNA (1110 nucleotides) under Carassius auratus (goldfish). RNAcentral describes it as "lncRNA (ENSCARG00000068927.1)". Lineage: Eukaryota; Metazoa; Chordata; Actinopteri; Cypriniformes; Cyprinidae. The record is from RNAcentral.